CACUAGUAAUAUGCUUACUUUCCCUGCAGUAAGCUCUGAUUCCCCUUUGAUACCAGGCCUCCUUGGACAGAAGCACUGCAGCCCUUGUCCUUGCGGGUGCGAGAUGAGGAUCUAGGGACACCCAGUUGCUCUCACAGAUGGGGGCUCCCAAUAAUCAAGUGAUGCAGCAAUGCUAAAGGACCAGUUAUCCAGGGUGCAUCCCUGACAAUGUUACAAAGGGAAAAAACAAGAUGCCUAAGAUUGGAACAUGACUCCAAAGUUUCGAUGCUGCCAGACUUCAGGCUUUCUGAAAUAAGAAUCUUGCAUAAUGUUCUGAAAGUGAACCAAUCUGAAUUACCAGAGGGAACGAAUUUCACUUCUAGGGACCAUCUCCCGAGACCGCCCACCCUCCCUCAUGAGUGCACAUUUAAAGGCUGUCAGCAAAAGCACCUCGGCUGAUCUGUAGGAUGGUGCACAUCAUCAGUAGAAAUUAGUCUAGAGGGACUUUUAUUCCCACUUCAAUUUAAAACACAAAACGCUCAAAACAAAGAGGAUGAAGUGUUUAGUGAUCAUCUUUUCUGCUUCCCAGUGGAGGUAUGUUGCAUAUUGUGUCAUGCCUCUUGGCUCCUUACUGAUUAACUUAUUCCCAACUUCAUCUGAAUGAGCUGGAGGGAGGGAAAGGAAUGAGUCACAAGUAAUUUUUGCAUAGGCAGGAACCCAGAUCAGCAUCUAACCUAAUACAGGGCUCUUUGUUAUCUAAAAUGGUUAGAAAAUGGAAGUGUAAUCUUGGGAGCAGAGAAAAUUAGGCAUGGGGAGAGAAUGGGAAAGAUCAGCUGGCUGGAGGCAGCCGCCUGGGAGGUGAUUGCAAAACUGAUAGAGGAAUGAUGGUCAAGAACAGUAGCCUAUCCUCAGAACACUGGGGUUCAACUCCUAGCUCUGCCUAGACUUCAUGUGUGACUUUGGGCAAGUCACUUAAUCUGUUCGUCAGAUACUCUGUAGGAAUGUUUCCCUACCUAGUGUGAUAAAAUACAUUAAAGAUUGGGAUGCACUUUGA
Long non-coding RNA from Malaclemys terrapin pileata, 1033 nucleotides. RefSeq lists it as uncharacterized. NCBI's taxonomy places the organism in Eukaryota, Metazoa, Chordata, Testudines, Emydidae. The record is from RefSeq and is a predicted model, not a curated record. The transcript is spliced from 2 exons.